This is an RNA transcript of Macrosteles quadrilineatus (aster leafhopper), 5514 nucleotides long. RefSeq lists it as uncharacterized. The record is from RefSeq and is a predicted model, not a curated record. The transcript has 2 exons. NCBI's taxonomy places the organism in Eukaryota, Metazoa, Arthropoda, Insecta, Hemiptera, Cicadellidae.
AAAAUGAAAGCAUCUCUUAUUUCAGAGCCUUGUCUAAUGUCAGUAUAAGUUACAUAUUAUAGUAAAGAUGGUUUUAAGUGUCAAUAAUUGUUAGUGUUACUAUAAAAGAAAUAGUAUACAUUACAGAUUGUGGCGACGAGGAUAAAGUUUUAUAGUAAAAAGAGUACUAAAUUUUAUCUUCAAGUUUUUCAGGUAUGUUUCACGACUAGGCCUAGCUUCUAUUCCAGUCAAGAAGAUAAACGUACUAUUAUAAAUUAAAAGUGACAGACUAUUUUCGAUUCAUUUUAAAUUUUAGUAACUUAAUCUUUCAAGUUGAUAUUUUUUUCUGAAAGUUUUAAGCCUAAAAACUUGAAAUAUAGGCCUACAGGAACUUUCAACUUUCAUGUUUGAACAAACUUUCAUGUCUGAACAGACUUUCAUGUUAGAACAAACUUUCAUGUUCAUCGAUUUGCAUGUUAGGCAGAACAUUGCAAUGGUGUUUUAGUGAUGUCACUUGUAGGUAAUAUAUCUGAAUUUGAUGAUUCUUGUGAAGAAUGGGACUUAUAUGUACAAAGACUGGAACAAUAUUUUAGAGCUAACGACAUUACUGAUAAUGGCAAGAAGGCGAGUGUCCUACUCUCUGUUGUGGGUAGGAAGGCUUUUAGAAUUUUACAUGAUUUAUGUCAACCAGACAAGCCUGGAGACAAGAAGUACACUGAUUUGGUAUCAAUAUUAAGUAAUCACCUAAAUCCUAAACCUUCUGAGAUAGCGGAACGCUAUAAGUUUCAGCAUGUUAGACAGGUAAGUGGCCAAUCAAUUUCAGACUAUGUGGUCUCACUUCAAAGGGCCGCUAAACACUGUAAUUUUUCUCAAAGAGAUGUCUCCUUACGUGAUCAAUUUGUUGCGGGACUCCUUAGUGAUGUGGUGAAGAAGAAGCUUUUCACAGAGGUUGAUAGUGAAAAGUUAACUUUUAAAAAAGUUGUUGAAAUCGCGUUAGGCGUGGAAUCUGCUGACUUAAAUACUGCUACCUUACGUCAGCCUACAAGUAAUAUUAACUACACUAAAAAGAGUCGCUUUAAUCAAAAUGGGAGGAAAUCUGGGUCAUUUCAAUCAUCUGCUACGAGUGGGUCGAAGUCUACCUAUGAUGGGUCUUCACAGGGACCACGGACCACACUUCAGUAUUCUCAGAGCAAACAUUUUGUAAAUAGUAGUAAUAAGUCUAAUCUCUCUCACAGACAUCAGUCUAAAUAUUGUAAUUGUUGCGGUAGAUCGAAUCACAUAACCUCAAAAUGUAGGUUUAGUUCUUAUUCUUGUUUUCAUUGUAACACAAAGGGACAUUUGUCCAAUGUUUGUCCUAAAAAGAAAAACAGUAACAAAGUAAAACAUCAUAACCUAGAAGUUGAUGAUAACUUAGUAGAAGACCCAGUGGAGUUAGUUAGGCCUAAUGUUGAUUUAAAUGACGAAUCACAAACCUCUGAGUUUGAGUCCUCCGAAGGAAUUUUUAACAUUAAUAUGAGUUUCAAUGAGGUAAAACCUAGUCUUUGUAAGCCAUAUACUAUGUGUGUGACUAUUGAGGGUAAAAAGUUGUCUAUGGAGUUAGAUACGGGUAGUCCUAUAUCUGCAAUUUCAGAUAAAGUUUAUGAAAAGGAAUUCAAGCAUGUUCCAAUUGUCAGUACUGAUCUUGUGCUAAGGUCAUAUGAUGGUAGCCUUAUUAAACCAAUGGGUUUUUUGAAUGUAAAUGUUCAGUAUGAUAAAACUGUCAAAAAUGAUUUAAGUUUGUAUGUAAUCUCAAAUGGAGGUCCAGCUUUGCUUGGCCGAGAUUGGCUAAGUAGCCUAGGUAUUGGUAACCUGAACUUAAACAAUGUAAAAGUUUCUCCAGAAACUAACCCAAGAGUCGAGGACAUUUUCCCUGAAGUAAAUGAAGUUUUCUCUGAAAAACUAGGAACAUUCAAUAAAGGUAAGGUUAGCUUACAGUUAAAAUCUGAUUCUCACCCUGUAUUUUUUAAGCCAAGACCUGUGCCUUUUUCUCUUGUGAAAAAAGUUGAAAAUGAGAUUGAUAGGCUAGUAAAUUGUGGUAUUCUUGAACCAGUUGAAACUAAUGAGUGGGGAACGCCUAUUGUGGCAAUUCCAAAAUCUGAUUCUAGUAUAAGAUUGUGUGGUGAUUAUUCUGUAACGCUUAACCCUUGUCUAGUUGUAGAUCGCUAUCCUUUGCCUAAGAUUAGCGAAUUGUUAAAUAAGUUGUCUGGAGGUAAAAUAUUCAGUAAGAUUGAUUUGAAACACGCUUAUCAACAAAUUUUACUUGACGAUGAGUCAAAGAAACUAACAACCAUUUCUACGAGUAAAGGUUUGUUCAUGUACACAAGAAUUCCUUUUGGAAUUACUUCAGGGCCUAGCAUUUUUCAAAGAAUUGUAGACCAGUUGGUAAUUGGUAUUGAAGGAACGGUAGCGUUUCAAGACGAUAUUUUGAUCUCUGGUAAGAACGAUUCAGAACAUUUAGAGAACCUCAAACAAGUUUUGACUAGACUAAAUGAUUGUGGUUUAACAGUACAUAAGACCAAGUGUGAAUUUUUUCAGACUUCAAUCAAGUACUUAGGGUACAUUAUUGACAGUCAGGGGCUGCACACAGAUCCUGAUAAGGUAAAUGCUAUAGUGAGUGCUCCAGCACCAUCAAAUAUUACAGAAUUGAAAGCCUUUUUAGGCCUUGUUAACUUUUAUGGUUGUUUUGUGCAGGACCUUGCAUCAAUAUUGCAUCCUCUGUAUCAACUGUUGCGCAAAGAUGUUGACUGGGUAUGGUCUAAGAAAUGCAAUGAUUCUUUUAACAAAGUCAAAGAACUCAUGACUUCUGUUGAUUUUUUGGCUCAUUACGAUCCUAAUUUACCAUUGAAAUUAUCAUGUGAUGCAAGCUCUUACGGCUUGGGGUGUGUUCUUUCAACAAUCUUAGAGUCGGGCAAAGAACGUCCAAUCGCGUUCGCGUCUAGAGUUUUGUCAAAAGCCGAGAAAGGUUAUAGUCAGACGGACAAGGAAGCUUUGUCGAUUGUUUUUGGGGUCAAAAAGUUUAAUCAAUAUCUUUUUGGGCGUCAUUUUUCACUUGUAACUGAUCAUAAACCGCUUUUGAGUAUUUUUGGGAAGAAAAAGGGCAUUCCCCAAAUUGCCGCUAAUAGGUUGCAGCGGUGGGCAUAUUUUCUCAGUGCUUAUGAUUACUCUGUUAUUUUUGUAAAGUCUUCAGAUCAUGGUAAUGCUGAUGGUUUGUCCAGAUUGCCGCUCGAUGUAAAAGGUAAUGAUAAUCUUGAUGAUUAUGACUUUUUACAAUUUAUUCAAGAAGGAUGUGUACCGUUGAGUUCUAAAAAUGUAGAAUGUGAAACCAAAAAAGAUGAAAUUCUGUCUUCUGUAUUAAGGUAUGUACUACAUGGUUGGCCAUCAAAUAUUGAUGGUAGUGUGAAAUCUUAUUUUUACAAAAAAGAUGAAUUGAAUGUAGAAGCAAAUUGCCUCAUGUGGGGGUACAGAGUUGUAAUUCCUAGUAGUCUUAGGCCUAGCCUAUUAGCUGAAUUACAUAAAAAUCAUUUAGGAAUUGUAAAAAUGAAAAGUAUUGCCAGGUCAUGUAUGUGGUGGCCGGGAAUAGAUAAGGAUAUUGAGAAUGUCUCAAAUCUUUGUGAUUACUGUAACAAUUCAAGGCCUAAUCCGCCUAAAACUGUUUUGCAUAGUUGGAAUAUACCCGAGAAACCUUGGGUAAGAGUACAUGCAGAUUUUUUUGGUCCUAUCAAUAACAAAAUGUAUCUUUUAGUAAUUGAUGCUUAUUCUAAGUUUUUGGAAGUCAUUCAGAUGAAUAGUAUAACAAGUUCAGCAACUAUGGUUCAGUUGAGAAAAAUCUUUGCUAGGUAUGGUUUACCUCAAGUGUUUGUAACAGACAAUGGAAGGCAAUGGACUUCUGAUGAGUUUUCUAAAUUCAUGUCAAACAAUGGUGUUAAGCAUUUAUUUACUGCCCCAUAUCAUCCAGCAACUAACGGUGCUGCAGAAAAUGCUGUUAAGUCUCUCAAAAAGUGUUGUAAAAUAGCUAAAGAAUCAAAUGUAGAUAUUGAAACUGCCAUUGAUAGAUUUUUGUUUGAUUAUCGUAACAGCCAACAUUGUACAACUUGUGAAUCUCCAUCUAAACUCAUGUUUGGUCGCUCGUUGCGUACUAGGUUUGACCUGCUUAGACCUUGUAAAAAUGAAAAUUGGCAUCGCAAUGUAGAGAAACAAAAAGCAAGUUUUCAUGGUAACAGGACUGUUUCUUUCAGUGAAGGUGAAUUGGUGUUAGUCCGUGAUUAUCGUCCAGGUCGUAGGUGGAGCAAGGCUCGCAUUGUUAAUCCCUUGAGUCCUGUUUCCUUUGAAGUGAUCAUUUUAGAUUGUGACACAGUUUGUAAACGACACGCUGACCAAAUUUUGCCUUUGAAUGUGUGUCAAGACAAUGUUUAUGUUGGUGGUGACAAUAACGUAACGUCUGUAGAGUCAGUAACUAGUGACCUAAACGAAACUUUAUCUGUAGCUUCUCCCUUAAAAUCUCCGCCUGUCACUAGUACACCAAUUGUGCGUUCCGGCAGAAAUUCUUUGUCACCGGUUAACCAAGAUCCAAGCAGGCCUAACAUAGCAACUAGUCCUAUAAGCUCUUGCAAACAACCAAGUCCGGUUCAUGUUGAACCUGAAAGAAGGUAUCCUUUGAGAGAUAGAAUUAAAAAGAAAAUUUUGGAUAUGUAACCUUGUGUUUUCAGGGAAGAAUGAGUUCAUAAUAUAUAGAUCAUGAGUUAUUGAGUUUUUAUUGUUAUGAAAGAUAUGUUUUAUUUUCAGUUAAAGUAAAUUCAAGUAAAUUGUUUAUUGCCUUAUUUCAAUUUUAUGUUUAGCCUAUAUUAUAUACAAGAUGUAUUAAAUUUUGUACUUUAGAUUAAAAGAGAAGAUUUGUUGAUUUUUGUUGUACCACUUGUAAUAAUUUCCUUUGCUCUACGUUUGUUAAAAAUUAUAAAAUUUGAUGGUUGUUAAAUUCAUGUUAGUUAAAAAUUAUUGUAACUUUUGGAGAAUUACAGUAGCCUAAGAAUUUUAACAGUGUUCUGUUCUAUUGUUUUUGUUAGAUCAUGUAAACUUGAUUCUUAUUUUAUAUUAUUAUGUGUAGGUCAAAUUCUUUUCAUUUUGUUUUACUGCUUUAUCUUUGAAGGGGAGGAUGAUGUAAUAUAUGUGCCUUAUAAUUUGUUAUAACUUGUAUACUCUAUGGGCUGUGCUCCCUACCUCAAUUCGUAAGAAUAAAGCUCUCUAUGUUCAACCAUCAAAAUGAAAGCAUCUCUUAUUUCAGAGCCUUGUCUAAUGUCAGUAUAAGUUACAUAUUAUAGUAAAGAUGGUUUUAAGUGUCAAUAAUUGUUAGUGUUACUAUAAAAGAAAUAGUAUACAUUACAGAUUGUGGCGACGAGGAUAAAGUUUUAUAGUAAAAAGAGUACUAAAUUUUAUCUUCAAGUUUUUCAGGUAAUAUAUCUGAAUUUGAUGAUUCUUGUGAAGAAUGGGACUUAUAUGUAC